GCCUCCAUAGCCCAAUCGGCAGAGGCAGCAGACUUAAAAUCUGUUCAGUGUGGGUUCGAGUCCCACUGGAGGCACUA
Molecule: transfer RNA, 77 nt
Filed under: Arcanobacterium phocae
Lineage: Bacteria; Bacillati; Actinomycetota; Actinomycetes; Actinomycetales; Actinomycetaceae
Description: tRNA_Leu_TAA
Rfam family: tRNA
About the family: Transfer RNA (tRNA) molecules are approximately 80 nucleotides in length.
Source: RNAcentral